UACAGAGGGGGCAAGCGUUGUUCGGAAUUACUGGGCGUAAAGGGCGCGUAGGCGGCCUUCUAAGUCGAACGUGAAAUCCCCGGGCUCAACCCGGGAACUGCGUCCGAUACUGGAAGGCUUGAAUCCGGGAGAGGGACGUGGAAUUCCAGGUGUAGCGGUGAAAUGCGUAGAUAUCUGGAGGAACACCGGUGGCGAAGGCGGCAUCCUGGACCAAUACUGACGCUGAGGAGCGAAAGCCAGGGGAGCAAACGGG
RNAcentral lists this ribosomal RNA (253 nucleotides) under uncultured bacterium. Its description in RNAcentral is "partial 16S ribosomal RNA". It matches the Rfam family "Bacterial small subunit ribosomal RNA", at positions 524 to 776 of the family's 1533-position model. The record is from RNAcentral.